CUCCCGCUACUCUUUUCUUCGCUCGCUAGCCAUUGUGCUGUUCAUCGAUGCUUUGUUAAAUUUUCGAGUUGCUGUUGCCGCUGCACUCGAUUUUUCGGCAGUCUAUCACGAGUAUUCAACGAAACGAAGUGUUGUUGCUGACAUUUAGUGUUGCCGCUUCAGCGCAAAUGCAAAUCGAUCGGUUGGUCGGUCAACGGUCAAAAGCGCAUCGAAUCGAUCGAGUUGAAAGAAAUUUAUAUAUAUAUAUAUUUUUGGUUUAAAACUGAAUAUGCAAAAAUGUAACGCGUAGCUGGUGGCGAUCGCGUUUCUCUUUUUCGCAAUUUUAUUCAACGAAUUUCGAGUACUUUUUUGUGGUGUUUCUAAAGAAAAUCGAAAAUCAACGAUGUUGUGUAGUGAUAUUCAGUAAUUACAUAAAAAAUAAAUGAAACAAAAUAUACAUAGAAAAAGUUUGAAAACAUAAUCUGUAUUAAAAAAAUGUUCAUCUGUGGAAUGAAUUAUUGCUGUGCUACCGGACUUUAAUAAAAUGGAAAUAUUGAACUGAAAAUAGUUAUUUAUGUAAUAAAUAUUUUAAA
Molecule: long non-coding RNA, 572 nt
Organism: Rhagoletis zephyria (snowberry fruit fly)
Lineage: Eukaryota; Metazoa; Arthropoda; Insecta; Diptera; Tephritidae
Source: RefSeq, a predicted model, not a curated record